UUAAUUUUGGUAAAACCAAUAAAAGCUUAAAGGUUCACCCAGGGCGAGGCUCGGCCAUUGCACUUCGGCUGUGCUGACCUUUGCGAAUUCCCCAAAUGCGGGAAUCUCGACUGCAUAAUUUCUGGUAGUGGGGGACUGCGUACGCGCUCUCCCCCG
This is a small nuclear RNA of Hypomesus transpacificus, 156 nucleotides long. RefSeq annotates it as U1 spliceosomal RNA. The transcript has a single exon. The record is from RefSeq and is a predicted model, not a curated record. Lineage: Eukaryota; Metazoa; Chordata; Actinopteri; Osmeriformes; Osmeridae.